RNAcentral lists this transfer RNA (61 nucleotides) under Ictidomys tridecemlineatus (thirteen-lined ground squirrel). RNAcentral's name for it is "Spermophilus tridecemlineatus (thirteen-lined ground squirrel) tRNA". It matches the Rfam family "tRNA", at positions 6 to 65 of the family's 71-position model. From Rfam's summary of the family: Transfer RNA (tRNA) molecules are approximately 80 nucleotides in length. Their secondary structure includes four short double-helical elements and three loops (D, anti-codon, and T loops). Lineage: Eukaryota; Metazoa; Chordata; Mammalia; Rodentia; Sciuridae. The record is from Rfam by way of RNAcentral.
UGUAGCUCAGUGAUAGGGCAUGUGCUUCGCUUCCACAAGGCCCUGGGUUCAAUCCCCAGCA